RNAcentral lists this ribosomal RNA (329 nucleotides) under Klebsiella pneumoniae. RNAcentral describes it as "bacterial SSU rRNA". It matches the Rfam family "Bacterial small subunit ribosomal RNA", at positions 1215 to 1533 of the family's 1533-position model. The record is from RNAcentral. Lineage: Bacteria; Pseudomonadati; Pseudomonadota; Gammaproteobacteria; Enterobacterales; Enterobacteriaceae.
UACACACGUGCUACAAUGGCAUAUACAAAGAGAAGCGACCUCGCGAGAGCAAGCGGACCUCAUAAAGUAUGUCGUAGUCCGGAUUGGAGUCUGCAACUCGACUCCAUGAAGUCGGAAUCGCUAGUAAUCGUAGAUCAGAAUGCUACGGUGAAUACGUUCCCGGGCCUUGUACACACCGCCCGUCACACCAUGGGAGUGGGUUGCAAAAGAAGUAGGUAGCUUAACCUUCGGGAGGGCGCUUACCACUUUGUGAUUCAUGACUGGGGUGAAGUCGUAACAAGGUAACCGUAGGGGAACCUGCGGUUGGAUCACCUCCUUACCUUAAAGAA